UUCCCUCUCUCUCUCUCAGGUCUCAUUCCCUCUCUCUCUCUCAGGUCUCCUUCCCUCUCUCUCUCAGGUCUCAUUCCCUCUUUCUCUCAUUCCCUCUCUCUCUCUCAGGUCUCAUUCCCUCUCUCUCUCUCAGGUCUCAUUCCCUCUCUCUCUCAGGUCUCAUUCCCUCUCUCUCUCAGGUCUCAUUCCCUCUUUCUCUCAUUCCCUCUCUCUCUCUCAGGUCUCAUUCCCUCUCUCUCUCUCAGGACUCAUUCCCUCUUUCUCUCAUUCCCUCUCUCUCUCUCAGGUCUCAUUCCCUCUUUCUCUCAUUCCCUCUCUCUCUCUCAGGUCUCAUUCCCUCUUUCUCUCAUUCCCUCUCUCUCUCUCAGGACUCAUUCUCUCUCUCUCUCAGGUCUCAUUCUCUCUCUCUCUCAGGUCUCAUUCCCUCUCUCUCUCUCUCUCUCUCUCAGGUCUCAUUCCCUCUCUCUCUCUCUCAGGUCUCAUUCCCUCUGUCAGGUCUCAUUCCCUCUCUCUCUCUCUCUCUCAGGUCUCAUUCUCUCUCUCUCUCUCUCUCUCUCUCUCUCUCUCUCUCUCAGGUCUCAUUCUCUCUCUCUCUC
This is a long non-coding RNA of Oncorhynchus tshawytscha (Chinook salmon), 596 nucleotides long. The record is from Ensembl. Lineage: Eukaryota; Metazoa; Chordata; Actinopteri; Salmoniformes; Salmonidae.